UAAAGUGGGCAUGUCUGUAAAGGGGAGACUCGUGGGUACCCAUAGAACCCAUUUUCAUUCACAUAUCUUGAGGUCAGAGGUCAAGGGACCCCUUUGAACGUGCCAGUUUUUCCUCGCGAAAAUUUAGCGCGAGUUCAGAGCAUUUAUAUGACAUGGUUGGUA
Molecule: long non-coding RNA, 162 nt
Organism: Sebastes umbrosus (honeycomb rockfish)
Lineage: Eukaryota; Metazoa; Chordata; Actinopteri; Perciformes; Sebastidae
Exons: 3
Source: RefSeq, a predicted model, not a curated record